GAGAGAAGGCAGGGCUGAAAUACGGCGUGGCCAUGGCGCAGGCUCCUUCCCAAAGCUUGGCACAGCAGGGUGGUUGAAUUUCCCAUGGGUCAAAAGAAUGCUGAGGAAGGUACUGGGCCUGGGCUGACUUGCUGCGCCCCCCCUCUGCCGCCUGAAAAAAGCCACCCUCUGGAUGAGGGUCUCCAGCAACAAGGGUUUGUGAGUUUCUUUAGGUAUGAAGAUCAUUCAGCUAUUCAUUCACCAAGCACUUGUUGAUCAUAGCCAAGAACCACAUAUUGUGCUAAACUUGGGAGAAUCAAAGAGGAACAAUAUGAUAUUCCUGUCUUCGAAGACUUUGUGAUUUAGUUGGAGAGAUGUAUGUACAAGAAAAUCAUUUAUGGCCGGGUGCGGUGGCUCAAGCCUGUAAUCCCAGCACUUGGGAGGCCGAGAAGGGCGGAUCACGAGGUCAGGAGAUCGAGACCAUCCUGGCUAACACGGUUGAAAAAGUCCAAGAUUUGCAGUCUGCAAGUUAGAGACCCAGGAGAGCCAAUGUCCAGUUGCAGUCUGAGUCCAAAGGCCUGAGAACCAUAAGAGCUGAUGGUAUAAGUUCCAGUCCAAAAGCCAGCAGGCUUUACCCAAGAAGAGCUGAUGUUUCGGUACAAGACUGAAGGUGACUGAGGCCAAACCAGUAUGGGAGCUCCUUUGAAAAACCCAGCGAGGGCCAGGAAGGCCAGACAAGUGGACUUUCAUUGCAGGGUGCCUUCAGUGCUGCUGUCAGAGGAGCAUCCUUCUGUGAGCCUUGGUUUUCCUUCUGCAAACUGGCUAAGAGCUGCAGAGCACUCGACACCCAGAACCACAGUGUGCCUUCACAAUGAACAGAAAGCUGCAGUUUCCUCCUCUGUAUUCUUUGUCCACUCCCACUCGCUUCAUAUGCCCCACUGACCCAGGUAUGAGAAACCCGGCCUCCCAAAGUGUUGGGAUUAUAGGCAGGAGCCACUGUGCCUGAGCUCACUGUGGUUUUGAUUUGCAUUUCUCUAAUGUCAGUGAUGUUGAGUUGUUUUCAUAUGUUUGUUGGCUACAUGAAUGUCUUCUUUUGAGAAGUGUCUGUUCAUAUCCUUUGCUCACUUUUUAAUGGGGUGGUUUUCUUCUUGUAAAUUUGUUGGAGUUCCUUGUAGACUCUGGAUAUGAGACCUUUGUCAGAUCACUGAGAGUUUCUGAGCAAUGUGGUGGUGGGUUGUAUGUAGAUGAAUUUGAAGCGGAAGAGACCUGUGACAGAGAGACCAGAUUAGAGCUACUGCAGUGAUUAGGUGGUGGAGGCCUGUAAACAGGUGUAUGUGGCACUUUAUGUACAGGUACACUGUGGAUACAGAAUUGAUGGGACUUAGCAACUGCUUGGGUACAAAAGGGACAAGGACAAAAGAGAAGGAGUUGUUAAACAACAAUGCCUUGGGUUAACCUGGGGUGAGCAUGUGGAUGGUGUCAUUUGUAGAGCCAGAGAAAGAGUAGACGAGGAAGAGAAAAGGGGAACAGGAGUGGGAGGAGGAGGAGAAUAGAAUGGGAAAAUAUGAGAUCUGAGUGGCUGCAUUUUGGAGGAGCUGGUGGAGCUGCCCAGAGGCUGCUGAAAUCUGGAACUAGAGUUCAGAGGAGAGGUUAGGGUGAGGGACAGAGUAGAAUUGGAAAUAGUCCCUAAGUGUGUUGAAUAUAUCCAAUUUAGUUUCUUUCUAAAGGAAAAUCCUUAGUCCUUUUCUAGAAGGCAUUGUAAAAUCAGCCUCUGAAAUUCUGCCCUACUAAACUUGUUUUCUUCUAGGAAGUGACAAAAUUGCAGCCCCUGAAGAGCAGGAGAAUCCUGGACUCUAUGGCUUCCUCCUGCUGUUUGCAACUGCAUUUGAUUCCACUUUUGUGUGUUUUCCCUUUUUCGUGAUUAAUAUUUGCUGGAAAUAUAUUGAUUUUUCAGUCUUUUCAAGAAAACUGCUCUUGGGCGUAUGUCUCAAUUAUACUGCUUUUAUGUUUCCUCAUUUAAUUCUUUAUUGAAGCUUUUAUCUGUUUUUCUCUUUAUUUUUAUUUGCUACCCCUUCCCUUGAAUUUUAAAUUUAUUUGUUGAUCUAUUAAUUGUAUCUUUUGGUAAUAAAAACAUUUCAAGCUA
Macaca fascicularis (crab-eating macaque) is the source of this 2122-nucleotide long non-coding RNA. The record is from Ensembl. Lineage: Eukaryota; Metazoa; Chordata; Mammalia; Primates; Cercopithecidae.